UUGGGGGAGUAAUAGCCUACCAAGGCUUCGAUCAGUAGCUGGUCUGAGAGGACGACCAGCCACACUGGAACUGAGACACGGUCCAGACUCCUACGGGAGGCAGCAGUGGGGAAUUUUGGACAAUGGGCGCAAGCCUGAUCCAGCCAUUCCGCGUGAGUGAAGAAGGCCUUCGGGUUGUAAAGCUCUUUCGCAAGGGAAGAAAACUUACUUUCUAAUAAAGAGUGAGGCUGACGGUACCUUGAUAAGAAGCACCGGCUAACUACGUGCCAGCAGCCGCGGUAAUACGUAGGGUGCGAGCGUUAAUCGGAAUUACUGGGCGUAAAGCGUGCGCAGGCGGUUUGGCAAGUCAGAUGUGAAAUCCCCGAGCUCAACUUGGGAACUGCGUUUGAAACUGCCAGACUAGAAUAUGUCAGAGGGGGGUAGAAUUCCACGUGUAGCAGUGAAAUGCGUAGAGAUGUGGAGGAAUACCAAUGGCGAAGGCAGCCCCCUGGGAUAAUAUUGACGCUCAUGCACGAAAG
RNAcentral lists this ribosomal RNA (518 nucleotides) under Methylophilus sp. RNAcentral describes it as "bacterial SSU rRNA". It matches the Rfam family "Bacterial small subunit ribosomal RNA", at positions 249 to 759 of the family's 1533-position model. Lineage: Bacteria; Pseudomonadati; Pseudomonadota; Betaproteobacteria; Nitrosomonadales; Methylophilaceae. The record is from RNAcentral.